AUAUUCAAUUUCAGCAUAAAAUUUAGUAUGUGUUCAAUUUCAAUAUAUGAAGUAAGUCCUAGUGUUCUAUAUUUUAUGCAUGCAUGAUAUAGAUUAAAAAAUAUUUUAAUUUUCUAUUCUACUAUAUUAUUUUAAAAAAAAUUUGAAAACAUACAUACACACCCCGACAUGAAAUUUCAACAGUGGUAUCAGAGCUACGGAUU
Molecule: long non-coding RNA, 203 nt
Filed under: Elaeis guineensis (African oil palm)
Lineage: Eukaryota; Viridiplantae; Streptophyta; Magnoliopsida; Arecales; Arecaceae
Description: long non-coding RNA (EGUI_LNC056151)
Source: RNAcentral